CUACCAGGCCGGAGUUGGGGGCGAACUGCUGACCGGUCUGAAGCUCUUCUUCCACAGACUCUAAACGCAAAGUGGACAUAAGGUCGACGGAAAAUAAACAGCUUGAUAGAAAAGGAAAAAAAAAAUCUAGAAUCUUCGCUCUAAAGAAGAGAAAAUAGAUGGUAAUUCUCUGGAUAUAGGCUCUGUAGGUGUCUGAUAAAGUGAAGAGGUUUGUGUUUUAUUGGAGCAUGUGAUUCUGCAUACUUGUACUGAAGAUGGCAGUGAAUUUGUGGAAGCAUAUUGCAGAUUACAUGAGAUUAACUACUUAUUUCAACACACAGUGUCAGAAUCCAACCUGUAACACAUACAAUACGAGUUAAAUUCCAGAGGGAGAUCAAUGAUGAAAGGACCUGAAUGUUACUCUGGUCAUGAUCAGCCAGCUAUAAUCGUGUAUGAGGGCUACACAUGAGAGAAAAGUAGAGCAAGAAGACAGAGGGACUCUGCAUCUGUGGAAAAUUUUUGGAGAAGUAGCCUAAUUCUUUCUGGACCAUUCACCAACCCCUGAACUGUUAUGAAUGGCAUCUGAUGAGCCAGUGAGCACAAAAACAAGAUAAAGGUCAAUAACAUUGCAGUGCAAUCCACCAAUCAUACAAAUGUCAGAUUUGGAAGACCAAUGUUGUAACUUUAAGUGCCAAAGAAAACUCUGAAAUCAGCAUACUUGAGUGUGAUCUGUAAACUGACAUAAAUGUAAUGCAUGGAUCUUAAAUUAUUUCAAGAGUUAAUAUAUUUUGAAGAUGUGUUAUGCAUAUUAUAAGUCAUAAAAAUAAUCUUGAAACCCUGAAAGGUUUUAUUUUAAAAAAAGCUAAUCAAGUGAAAAUUUUAGAAAUCCCACAGAAGACCAUAUACUAAAAUUAACUAACAUAACAUUUAUAUGCUAUAUAAUAGCAUAUAUUUUAAUUUGAUAACACCCUUUAGGGUUAAAUUCAAUGAGUUGAGUUUCAAUGAAGGAAGUUGAGUUUUAGGGGGACUUGAAAGAUUAUGGCUAGAACUGUAUUUGGAGAUAGACACAUGCAUAGACCGUAUUCUGCAGUACUACAUCAACAUGACUUUUAGCUAAAAACAAGAUACUCCACAAAAAGAAAACAUUGCUUCCUCUUAAAUAGUCCAAAAAGAAAUCACACACACAAAAAACAGCCCAAAUCAACUGCCAAGAUCUUAUACUUAGAAAAUGCAAAAACCACUUUCCUUUUGUUAGAAAAAAAAGUCACUCUAACACAUGUUCCCUUUAGAAGAGUCUCUUUGUUAUGUGAUUCUUACUGUCAACCUGUUGAAAAAAUGAAAUAGUGUAUUUUCUGUUCUCCGAUUGCAUCAUUCAUUGGUUUGGGAUUUUUUCAAGAUGUGGAAGAUAGUAGGGUAUCAUUUAAGUAAUCACCUUUCUCAGACAUGUUUGUUGAUGUCCUUUGAUUUGUAUUAAUAGUAUCCAAAUUGAAACUUUAUUCAUCAUGAAACAAACAUCAACACAAACCUUUGCUACAGACCUGGUGUCUGAUGUCCCUGAGUGGACCCAAAUGCCUCCAACCUUUGUACUCAGCACACUGUAUCUGCUCAUUCCCUAAAGCAAAGGGGUUUUCUUGACCUCUAAUUUAUACCCCACAGCCAACAUAUAUGGGGUCUUUACACCUGUGUUUGCCUUUUCAAGCUCUCUCACUUGAGAGCACAAAAUUUUCCAAAGAGCUUCAAGAACUGGUUGGGUAUUACUUCUACCAAAGCACAUUUUCUAAAACUUUUCAACAGGUGACUACCUUUGCUAUAUUUAAGACUUGUAUACUUUUAUAUAUCUUUCACCAAGUGAUACCUUUGGAUGCUCUGAUCUGGAAGACCAUUCCCAAAAGAAACCAGUCAAUCCCACAACUAGGUUGAUUUAUCUCAGAUUCAGCCUUAAUCUUCCUCAGAUUAUUCUAUUUCCAUACUAUUUUGCCUCACAGGCAAGGACACACAGGACACAAUAAUAUGUGUCUAGGAUUCAAAAACACUUGGGCCACGUUUCCAUAUUGAGUCUUUGUCUUGUAGUAUUGUCUAAUUUGUCUGUUUACAAAUAUGUUAUGUCUCUACCAUGGGCUUCUCUAGGGUAGAGAUAUCUUUAUCCCUUAGUAUCCACAUGAUGUAAGAGACAAUGCAGUGAGUAUUUAAUAAACUAUUAAAAAGA
Neofelis nebulosa (Clouded leopard) is the source of this 2185-nucleotide long non-coding RNA. RefSeq lists it as uncharacterized. The record is from RefSeq and is a predicted model, not a curated record. The transcript has 4 exons. Lineage: Eukaryota; Metazoa; Chordata; Mammalia; Carnivora; Felidae.